RNAcentral lists this ribosomal RNA (572 nucleotides) under uncultured Glomeromycotina. Its description in RNAcentral is "SSU rRNA". It matches the Rfam family "Eukaryotic small subunit ribosomal RNA", at positions 548 to 1114 of the family's 1831-position model. The record is from RNAcentral. Lineage: Eukaryota; Fungi; Glomeromycota.
UUGGAGGGCAAGUCUGGUGCCAGCAGCCGCGGUAAUUCCAGCUCCAAUAGCGUAUAUUAAAGUUGUUGCAGUUAAAAAGCUCGUAGUUGAAUUUCGGGAUUGACGUGAUGGUCAUGCCUUAAGGGGUAUGAACUGUUACAGUUGAUUUCUCACCUUCUGGAGAAACUUGAUGUCCUUUAUUGGGUGUCUUGCGGAUCCAGGACCUUUACCUUGAAAAAAUUAGAGUGUUUAAAGCAGGCAUUUUUGCUCGAAUGCAUUAGCAUGGAAUAAUAGAAUAGGACGGCAUGGUUCUAUUUUGUUGGUCUCUAGGAUCACCGUAAUGAUUAAUAGGGAUAGUUGGGGGCAUUAGUAUUCAAUUGUCAGAGGUGGAAUUCUUGGAUUUAUUGAAGACUAACUACUGCGAAAGCAUUUGCCAAGGAUGUUUUCAUUAAUCAAGAACGAAAGUUAGGGGAUCGAAGACGAUCAGAUACCGUCGUAGUCUUAACCAUAGACUAUGCCGACUAGGAAUCAGACGAUGUUAAUUUUUUAAUGACUCGUUUGGCACCUUACGGGAAACCAAAGUGUUUGGGUUC